AGCCUGUCCACGUGGGGAGGGCCAGCCCCCUCCCUGCGGCCUUGCCCUGGCGUCCUGGCACCUUCUGGCCGCGCCUGCUGGUUAGCGGCGGAGGCCGCGGGGCGCCCUCACCCUGCCGCUGGAGUUCGUCAAGCGGGGAUUGUAGAGGCCGCGACCAAGGUCAUAGUUCCUCCCGCGCGAGCCCAGUUUUAAGGAGCUGGCCGCGCCUCAAGCCGCACUUUCAGCGCACUUGUGACCUGCCGCAUCCGGAGGCCACACCUGGCCGAGUUCCCUCCCUCCCGUCCUCCCGGUGACGCUGCAGGAGAGCUCGCGCCCUGGGGCUCCGAAUCCAGUCCCGGCACGUUGUCGCACCUGUGACUUGCCCUUGGCCAGACAGGCACUGUCCCUCGCCGGGGGAGGGAAAGGGCUCACGUGGUCGCUUUACUCCCGCAGUCAUGCACUUGGGUGAAAACAGACUGAGCAGUCACGAGAACCAGGUUGUCUCCCAGUUAUGGCGCAGAGCCCCAGGACGGCUGCGAGUCAUCAGUUUCCCCGCGGCAGACCUGCGUUUUCUGCGCCGCAGCUGUGGCGCGUGGGGAAGGACGCUGCUCCGGAUUCAGAUCCUGACUCCUGCUUGCUGCAGUGUGUCACCUUGAGCGACUUCCAGAUCUCUCUGACGGCGUUCUCAGGAAUGUAAAUUGUUAACAAUCCCUACCUACCUGGUAGCGGGGAUUAAACGAAGAAACUGAGGCACAGAGAAUGAAGCAACAGUUAAACCAGUGAAGAACCCCACAAACUUCGAGUCUGUGGCGAACCCUCUACGGAGCGGAGCGGAGCUCUGUGUUUGUUGUUUCUUUCUGCGUGGAAGAUGUGUGGUUACCACCAGCACAGGACCAGCAGAACCGUGACUUACAUUUUCCGACAUAAUGUGAUGUAUGUACUAUUUAUGUUUCAUGAUCUGUGUCAUUCCUGACCGUUCCAAAAACACUUGCUACCCGGAAUAUUGGUACAUUGGCAUGGGAGGUGGAGACACAGCACUGACUGCCCUCCGGCACAAUUUUAUACUCAUCAUCUGCUCAGAGGGAGGCACAGCAAGAGAGCAGAGGAAGCUCCAAGGCCCCGGGGUUGACUUUACCAGCAGCAAGUGAGCUGGGUCACAUUCAGACUCUCAGUGCCAGGCCCUGAGUCGGUGGUCACCCGCCAUUGUAAUCAGGGCUCCAGGAACCCCAGUCCUCAGAGCCUGCCUCAGCACCAAAGUUCACCCUAAGCCCAGAUUUAUCGUCUUGAUUUCUUCAGUUGUGAGGUUUCUGGACAAAGUGAAGAGAUAACCGAGUUUUGGAAAUUCACUGUUGAAUUCCAGCCACUGCCCCUGGGCAGCUCCUGCCACCCUGCUCGUAGCAGCCUGCCCUGGCCUGCCGUUCCUGCGGCAGCUCGGAGCCUUCGGCCACUCCCGACCCAGCAACCAUGAGGAAGAGGUGACACCCGCGGACUCCCUGAGAGCAGUCCUUCAUCUCUCCUCAUUCACACAAGGCAGUCCUGUUGGGUGGCUUUCCCAGGCCAGGAGCCCUCCAGGCACCCAGGUGAGCGGCCAGCCGCACGAAGCGUGAAGAGGAAUUGCAUCACAGGCCAGUGUGAUAAGACCAAUCACAAAGGUAUGCACAAAAUAUAGGUGAUGCCCCAAGCCGAGUGAGAGGAAGUCUUUGUGAGGUGGAGGUGGCCCUGUUAAAGGAAUGAAGGAAAGAUAGAAAAGACUGAACGAGAAAGCUGCAAAGGGCACGCCCAGGCCCAGGUACUGCCCGGAGUGUGACGUCCAGCAUGUAUCCACUAACCCUACCUGGGCCUCUGCUUCAUAAUGAGGCCAAGACCCUUGUCUGCACAUCAGAGCUGGCUGAGGCCCUCAUUUGUUUACAGUUUAAUCCUAAUCUGAUCCUGGCUGGAAGGGAAGCUCUUCUCCUUUCAUGCUUUCGGACAGUGGCUUUCCACCUGCCAAGUCCCAACAAAGCAUUUAGGAAUAAAACGAAAUAAAGGAGAAAA
This is a long non-coding RNA of Balaenoptera ricei (Rice's whale), 2013 nucleotides long. RefSeq lists it as uncharacterized. The record is from RefSeq and is a predicted model, not a curated record. NCBI's taxonomy places the organism in Eukaryota, Metazoa, Chordata, Mammalia, Artiodactyla, Balaenopteridae. The transcript has 3 exons.